AAUAAAAGUUGAGGUGAUUUCCCUAAAUUCAAAGAGUAAUUCCUAGAUCUGCAAUCAUCGAUAGAACGUGACUCCCUGUGAAGGAAAACAUUAAAAUAUAAAGCUUUGAUCACUGCUAAAAUAAGAUAACUAAAUAAAACCACACUUGCAGGUGAGAGCUUUCACUUGUAUUCCUGUACCGAUUUUCAGUUGCUGAGCUGUACUGGGGGCUUCCCAUGCUCCAGAGGUAAACGGAUACACUGUCCACGUUGCUCACUGCCUGAUGCAGCACAUCCUUAUGCACGCUAAUUACACCCUCCUGUAUAGCCAGAAUUAUAAGUUUCUCCAUGGGAUCUCCUAUAGUGCUGUUCCUGCUCGUGCUAGAAUGCUUCACAAAGUUAAUUUGUUUUCUUCCCAACACUCCUGUGAGAGGAGAAGGCAUUGCCCAUGUUUUUAAAUGGAAAAUUAAGGUACAGAAAGAUUAAGCACAAAAGUAUCUAUUAAUUUUGCCAAAUCUGACAUGCCUCAUAGCUGUUUUUUCAGACUACCUGGUACUAUUAAUUACAUCCAUAUUUAAUCACAGAAAUGGUUAAAUAUAGCACUGGAAGGGAUAUCAAGUCACGCAGUAAUUCCCCUUGCUGUGGAUAGGAUAAAAUCCAGGAUAUCCAGGGGACAGGACAGAUAGCUGGUGAGAAGUUAAUACAGGACAUCAAGCUACUGAGCGCCAAGGGAACACAAGCCAUAGCGCAUCGAUGAAGA
Long non-coding RNA from Pezoporus occidentalis (night parrot), 738 nucleotides. RefSeq lists it as uncharacterized. The transcript has 3 exons. Lineage: Eukaryota; Metazoa; Chordata; Aves; Psittaciformes; Psittacidae. The record is from RefSeq and is a predicted model, not a curated record.